This 335-nucleotide ribosomal RNA is filed under the name Mantidactylus melanopleura. RNAcentral describes it as "partial 16S ribosomal RNA". It matches the Rfam family "Bacterial large subunit ribosomal RNA", at positions 2016 to 2516 of the family's 2925-position model. Lineage: Eukaryota; Metazoa; Chordata; Amphibia; Anura; Mantellidae. The record is from RNAcentral.
CUGUCUCCUUUUUCAAUCAGUGAAAUUAAUCUCCCCGUGAAGAAGCGGGGAUACUCAUAUAAGACGAGAAGACCCCAUGGAGCUUCAAACCCAACUACACCCCUAGCUCUUAUAGCCCCACAACCCCCCUAGGCGCCGUGUGCUUGGUUUUAGGUUGGGGCGACCGCGGAGUACAAUAAAACCUCCACAAUGAAUGGGAACACCCCCUUAUCUGAGGGCCACACCCCCUAAGAAUUAGAACACUAACAUAAAAUGAUCCAUUACUUGAUCAAUGAACCAAGUUACCCUGGGGAUAACAGCGCAAUCCAUUUCAAGAGCCCCUAUCGACAAAUGGG